RNAcentral lists this ribosomal RNA (1081 nucleotides) under Staphylococcus aureus. RNAcentral describes it as "partial 23S ribosomal RNA". It matches the Rfam family "Bacterial large subunit ribosomal RNA", at positions 444 to 1531 of the family's 2925-position model. The record is from RNAcentral. Lineage: Bacteria; Bacillati; Bacillota; Bacilli; Caryophanales; Staphylococcaceae.
CUGGGAGGACCAUCUCCUAAGGCUAAAUACUCUCUAGUGACCGAUAGUGAACCAGUACCGUGAGGGAAAGGUGAAAAGCACCCCGGAAGGGGAGUGAAAUAGAACCUGAAACCGUGUGCUUACAAGUAGUCAGAGCCCGUUAAUGGGUGAUGGCGUGCCUUUUGUAGAAUGAACCGGCGAGUUACGAUUUGAUGCAAGGUUAAGCAGUAAAUGUGGAGCCGUAGCGAAAGCGAGUCUGAAUAGGGCGUUUAGUAUUUGGUCGUAGACCCGAAACCAGGUGAUCUACCCUUGGUCAGGUUGAAGUUCAGGUAACACUGAAUGGAGGACCGAACCGACUUACGUUGAAAAGUGAGCGGAUGAACUGAGGGUAGCGGAGAAAUUCCAAUCGAACCUGGAGAUAGCUGGUUCUCUCCGAAAUAGCUUUAGGGCUAGCCUCAAGUGAUGAUUAUUGGAGGUAGAGCACUGUUUGGACGAGGGGCCCCUCUCGGGUUACCGAAUUCAGACAAACUCCGAAUGCCAAUUAAUUUAACUUGGGAGUCAGAACAUGGGUGAUAAGGUCCGUGUUCGAAAGGGAAACAGCCCAGACCACCAGCUAAGGUCCCAAAAUAUAUGUUAAGUGGAAAAGGAUGUGGCGUUGCCCAGACAACUAGGAUGUUGGCUUAGAAGCAGCCAUCAUUUAAAGAGUGCGUAAUAGCUCACUAGUCGAGUGACACUGCGCCGAAAAUGUACCGGGGCUAAACAUAUUACCGAAGCUGUGGAUUGUCCUUUGGACAAUGGUAGGAGAGCGUUCUAAGGGCGUUGAAGCAUGAUCGUAAGGACAUGUGGAGCGCUUAGAAGUGAGAAUGCCGGUGUGAGUAGCGAAAGACGGGUGAGAAUCCCGUCCACCGAUUGACUAAGGUUUCCAGAGGAAGGCUCGUCCGCUCUGGGUUAGUCGGGUCCUAAGCUGAGGCCGACAGGCGUAGGCGAUGGAUAACAGGUUGAUAUUCCUGUACCACCUAUAAUCGUUUUAAUCGAUGGGGGGACGCAGUAGGAUAGGCGAAGCGUGCGAUUGGAUUGCACGUCUAAGCAGUAAGGCUGAGUA